This 433-nucleotide ribosomal RNA is filed under the name uncultured bacterium. RNAcentral describes it as "partial 16S ribosomal RNA". It matches the Rfam family "Bacterial small subunit ribosomal RNA", at positions 29 to 507 of the family's 1533-position model. The record is from RNAcentral.
AACGAACGCUGGCGGCAUGCCUAACACAUGCAAGUCGAACGAGACCUUCGGGUCUAGUGGCGCACGGGUGCGUAACGCGUGGGAACCUGCCUUUAGGUUCGGAAUAACUCAGAGUCAUUUGAGCUAAUACCGGAUGAUUUCUUCGGACCAAAGAUUUAUCGCCUUUAGAUGGGCCCGCGUUGGAUUAGCUUGUUGGUGGGGUAAAGGCCUACCAAGGCGACGCUCCAUAGCUGGUCUGAGAGGAUGGUCAGCCACACUGGGACUAGGACACGGCCCAGACUACUACGGGAGGCAGCAGAGGGGAAUAUUGGAAAAUGGGCGAAAGCAUGAUGCAGCAAGGCCGCGUGAGUGAUGAAGGCGUUAGGGAAGUAAAGCUCUUUUACCCGAGAUGAUAAUGACAGUAUCGGGAGAAUAAGCACCGGCUAACUCCGUG